UACGUAGGGCGCAAGCGUUGUCCGGAAUUAUUGGGCGUAAAGAGCUCGUAGGCGGUUUGUCGCGUCUGCUGUGAAAACCUGAGGCUCAACCUCGGGCUUGCAGUGGGUACGGGCAGACUAGAGUGCGGUAGGGGUGACUGGAAUUCCUGGUGUAGCGGUGGAAUGCGCAGAUAUCAGGAGGAAUACCGGUGGCGAAGGCGGCAUCCUGGACCGGCAUUGACGCUGAGGAGCGAAAGCUAGGGGAGCAAACGGG
This 253-nucleotide ribosomal RNA is filed under the name uncultured bacterium. RNAcentral's name for it is "partial 16S ribosomal RNA". It matches the Rfam family "Bacterial small subunit ribosomal RNA", at positions 524 to 776 of the family's 1533-position model. The record is from RNAcentral.